AUGAAAAAAAAUAAUAGUAACAAACAAAAGUUAACAGUAUCAUCACAAAUCAAGCUUAAAUUCAAGAACACAGCUAAAAAAAGCAACAAGAAAUACAAAUUCCUCGCAUCAAUAAUUAAAGGACAGAUAGCAACACAAUAUCAAGAUGCGGUUAUUUCCGGUGCGUUUAUCGAAUAUUACGAGAAUGCUCGAUAUGUACUCACAGUUCAAUCCAUCACCUUUAUCCAUAAAACAAUUUAUGGACUUCGGUCAAAAUGCCUGCGAGAAGAAAUCCUUUAUAUUCCUGCGUAAAGAACUGCCCGUACGUUUGGCGAAUAUCAUGAAGGAGAUUGCAUUGCUGCCCGACCAUUUGCUGAACACGCGAUCCGUGAGUCAGGUGAGCUCGUGGUACGUACAAAGCUUCGAGGAUGUGCUGAAAUUCGAAAAGGCCGAACCGACGCAUAGCAACUUAGAAAAGUUUUGCAACACUUUGGUGCACAUACGCAACCGACACAGUGAUGUGGUGCAAACAAUGGCUCAGGGUGUCAUCGAGAUGAAGGAGCAUCAGGGUGGCCCCGUUGAUUGUGGCAUGGAAUCGUCGAUACAAUACUUCCUCGAUCGACUGUACAUGUCACGCAUCAGCAUACGAAUGCUCAUCAAUCAGCACACUAUACUCUUCGGUCAGUUCCCCAAUGAGCAGGGUCGCCAUAUUGGCUGCUUGGAUCCGGCCUGUCAGAUCUCGUCUGUGGUGAGAGACGCUUAUGAAAAUGCACGCUUUCUAUGCGAUCAAUACUACCUGAUCAGUCCAGAACUGGAAAUCACUGAGCACAAUCCACAUGACAAAGCAAAUAAUCCCAUACGUACUGUAUAUGUACCCUCGCAUUUAUAUCACAUGCUCUUCGAGCUGUUCAAGAAUUCCAUGCGUGCUGUUGUGGAAAACAACGAUCAGGAUAAAUGUGAAAAGCUGCCGCCGAUUAAGGUGCUCAUAGCGGAGGGCAAGGAGGACAUAUGCGUGAAGAUCUCCGACCAAGGUGGCGGCAUUCCACGUUCCCAAAGCGACCAGCUGUUCAAAUAUAUGUACAGCACAGCACCACAGCCAUCAAAAUCCGAUCUGCAUACAGUGCCAUUGGCUGGUUACGGUUAUGGCCUGCCCAUUUCACGUCUAUAUGCGCGCUACUUCCAUGGAGAUAUUGUGUUGCUAUCAUGUGAGGGAUAUGGCACCGAUGCCAUUAUUUAUAUGAAGGCACUUUCAGAUGAAGCUAAUGAGCUGUUGCCCAUCUUCAAUAAAACGAGCUCGAAAUUUUAUCGCGCCACCGUGCCCACUGGCGAUUGGUCUAAUCAGAAUUUUUCCAACCGUUGGCGUUAUAUAUAUAGUCUCUUCACGUCCAAAAACAAUUAGCGUAUGUUUUAUUCUAAAAUGCUUGACUCAUUUCAGUUGGUUUUUAUUUAUGACGAAAGAGCUCUGACAUGAACGCUAGGCAGUUGAAUGCUUCGGCUCCGAAGCGCUACAAUAACAUGUUAUAGGCCGAGCCUAUGAGUAACUCGGGAGAUCAGCAAGUAAAUCCAACGGCGGCAGAUACGGAACCAGCGAAUGUUUUGGUACCACAAACUCAGGAGCAAUUGCUGAACGAUAAGAAAUGAAUAGCAAUGGUGAAGGAUGAAAGGGUUGUAGUACAAAAAAAAAUUAUAAAAUAUUAUAAAAUUAAUAUGCGGGUUAAUGAAUUGACGUAACCCAAUCAGCAAAGCCCUUCAACUUAUCAAGAGGACGGGUAUAUAAAUUAAUCACUGUGCUAUUCAGGAAAAUAUUGCAAAUAUUUUUUAAACUAAAAACCAAAUUUUGCAACAAGUAGUAACUCAAAACGUUGAGAGAGAGAAAUCGAUAAAAUAUGGAAAUUUUGCAAUAAGUAGUAACUUGAUCCAAUUGAGAUUAUGCAACAAGUAGAAAGCAAUUAUGCUUUAAAGACACAAGUGUGAAGUAAAAACAUUUAAUUAAAGAAAACUUCAGUAAAAAUGUCAUGCACAAGUUGGCAAAGGUUUAUAGGUUCGUAAUUUAGAAUUAUGUCAUGGCACUGAAUGAGAUUCGCUGACGUUCGACGAAAAGUGCAUUUGGAAAGGUUUUGUAGAGUUUGCUCAAAUCGUGUUGGAAUUUGUUUUUGUGCGUAAAUAGUCAGUCACGGCGAAGAUUUGCACUCAUACAUAAAUACACAUAUGCAUAUGUAACAUUGUAGGAUUAUGUAAGUGAAAACAUUUUAAAAUGCAUUAACUGUUAGCAAAAACAUUCCCCGCAAAUACCCAUAAACAUUUAUUUACUUAGCGCUUUAAUCACACAGCCAUUUGCACUUUUAUUCGUAUUUAUUAUUGUGUAAGCGAAAUGACGAAGUUAGUAAUUUAGGCUAAGAAGUUAAGUUUAACACUUUUAAGUGAGCAUUUGUUUGAACGUAAUAAAUUAUAAAUUAAGUUUUAUAAAAAUGUAUAAAGAUUUAUAAGAGUUAUGUUAGUAAAAAUGUUAAUGAUGGAUACAGAGCGCGAAAGCAAUAAAAUAUUUUGAUAUGGAAUAAGUGUAAAUUUUUCUCGAUCUGUUGAAAAAUCAGCUUUUACUAAGAAGAACCCAUAGCAUAUGACAAAUCGAGGGAUAUACAGUGUUGCCAAAGGCCAGUAGUGUGUAUCGGGUGAAUAACAAGUUCUUCUCCUAUUUUCUAUAAGGCUAUAAGCGCGAGUAUAGUAUAGACAACAGUGUAGUGAAAUCUGCAUUUUUGUACUAAGUUAACUUCGUUUUAAAUCAGGCCCAUUUUAUAUUUUACGUCUUUCCGAACGUUUCUAAUUGAAUAAUUUAUCAAAAUUGAUCAACAAAAAAGUCUUUGUUCCUUUAAUAAUUUAUAAACAUGUAUUUUCAAAAUAAUAUUUAUUACAUUAUGUAAUUAACGUCGUUGUGACCUAUUUUUGAAAAUUUACAAUAUCUUUUGUCAUAUUGAUAUCAAUAAGCCCAUAUUUAUAAUUGCGCCUAAACGGUUUAUUUUUAUAAUUUUCAUUUAUUUUUCAUUUAUUUUACGGAUUCCUGCACAAAUUUGAUCUGUGUUACACACUUCCUUUAACCCAGUGUUCCUUAAAAUUGCUCUUGAAUUGGCAAUAGAAAUCAAAUUUCAUACAAAUUUCCUUCCAUAAAUCGAACUUAUCGACCAGGGCACAAAAUUAAAAAAUGUACUAUCGAGACAGAAUUUUAAAAGAGUCCCUAUAUCGUAUGCAGGCUAACCAAAAAUAUGAUAUUACACUUAUGGAUUGCAUAAAUCAUGUAACAAAGGGAAGUUGAACUGUAUUUAUUUAUAGAGAUGAAAAUCAAUCCAAGUGAGUCAACUGAUACUAAAGAGUGACAAGAUCAAAAUGACAUAUUUUAAAAAUGGAUUAAUUCUCAAUUAGUUUAAUUCUCAUAUGUACUUAUUAAUUUAUUACCAACUUAUGGCUAGGUUUUAAACACUUAAAUUACUUUCACAUAAUAGAAAUACAAAAACAUAACGUAUAUGAUCCAGAAAUGAAAUUAUGGAGUAAAAGAAGAAGAAGAGAUAGAGCUACUGCAAUAGAUAUUCCACGAAUGGAAUCCGGAUUAACAUAUCAUAUAACCGUCGUUUCUCGUAUUAACUAAAUUAAAUUAUUUUAAAAUGUAAUACUUCACCUUAAACAUAAAAAUAUACUAAUUCACAUUAAUUUCAAUAAUCAAGAUCGCAUUAUAUAACAAUACUUCCAUUUGCCUACUUCCAGUGAUAGACAUCAAUAGAAAGAUUUGAAAUUUAUUCAUCAUAUUUGCAGGAAAAUGUCGACAAUACUAUAAUUUUAAUAUAUUUAUUUUUAACAAACAUGGGAAAUAAAGAAACUCCGAUAACUAAGGCCUAGGAUUAUUAACAAAGGACUGUCUUUAAUAGUUUGAGAAACAGCCUUACAACCUAACCUAACGUAAGGAAUAGGAAACAUUUUUAUCUCGUUUCAUUUCUAAAUCGAGAGCAGUUCAAUUCUUCGAUUAUUUGAGCAUGUUAAAUAAUCGUUUUUAUACUCUCGCAACAAAAGUUGCUAAAGAGAGUAUUAUAGUUUUGUUCACAUAACGGUUGUUUGUAACACCCAAAACUAAACGAGUUAGAUAUAGGGUUAUAUAUGCCAAAGUGAUCAGGGUGAAGAGUGGAGUUCAAAUCCGAAUGUCUGUCCGUCCGUCCGCCUGUGCAAGCUGUAACUUGAGUAAAAAUUAAGAUAUCUUGAUGAAACUUGGCACACUUAUUUCUCGCUUCACAACCACGCCUACUUCCUAUAUACCAGAACUUUGAAGACGAUCUGAAUCGUUUACUUUACAAUAUUUAAAGUAAGCACUAAUUUAAAGAUAUCAGUGCAGAACUUUGCACAAAUACUAUGUUUAUAGUGUGGCAGACCCAUUCUAAAAAUCGCCGAAAUCGGUCCAUAGAUUUUUAAGGCCCCAUAUAUCGAACACGAGGACCUUGGUGGUUCUAACCUAAUAUUAUGGUUUCCAUCUUUCAAUGGACUUUAUACAAUAUAUAUGACGAAUAUGUGGGUCAAAUUAUGUAUUAUAUAUAUAAUUAUAUAUAUAGUCAAUUGAAAAAAUUCUAAUGUUCAAGAUCCCAGAACCACUCUAUGAAUAGUGUACGGAAUAAGCGAAAACCUUUGAUUCGUUUAAUUUAUGAUGUGUGGGUAGUUAUCUUAGUUCCAAGCGAUUUCGAGAAAAAAAUAAAGAACCGCAAAGUCUCUUAAAUAUGCAUUUUAUUAAUUUCCUUUAAGUCUGUACGCUUAAGAAUUUUUACAUUUAUAUUAAUUGUAGUGUUGUUGUAAUUGUUUUAACUAGUAAAAAUAUGCUCUAAACUUAAAGAGUUUGUUAUUGCAUUAUUACAUAGAAUAUUAUUAAAUUUAUUACAGAUAAUCUAUGUUUUAAUACUUACAUACCAUAAAGAAGUACAACCGAUUUGCUUGUCACACUAAACAGUUUUUUACAGUUUUUUAUUGUUGUAGUAGAAAAAAAAAUAAAAGCAAAAUACAAAAAUAUUAAUAAAAACAACCCAGCUGAAAACUAAACCAAAAUCAAUAAAAUACAUGAAAAUGCAUUUUCCACAAUUUAUUGUUUUUUUUUUUAUUUCUUUAUUUAUAUACUUCGCUAGUAAAUAACGUACAACGUACAAAAUAAUAAUAGUAAUAAUAAUAAUAAUAAUAAUCACCAGCUACAUCAUCAUCUUUAUAAUAAACAUAAUCUUUAUCAAUCAUCGUUCUCAACUAAACAUCCUCGAUUUCAUACUCAUUAUAUAACAAUGCAUUUUAUAUAAACAUUAUUUAUUGUAGACGUGUGUGUGGGUGUGUGUGUGUGCGUGUGCACAUAUGACGUUUAUAUAUGUACGAAUGUAUUAAUAAAUUUAUUUUAAAUUAUUUUACAUAAACUUUUAAAAUAUUCGUAAUCAUAGUGAUCAUUACUAGCAUAAACACAUUUAUAACUGUUACUUUUACAGAGUGCGCAUGUGUGAGUGUUUUGGUUGAGGAGGCAUAUGUAUGCAUAUACCUACCAAAUAUUAAUACAUAUACGAGUAUAAGGGGGCGGGAGAGGAUUGUCUAUUGCUAUCACUUUUCACAAUUUUUCUUUCUUUAACAUUAUUAUCUA
Zeugodacus cucurbitae (melon fly) is the source of this 5617-nucleotide RNA transcript. It is a transcript of the gene named pyruvate dehydrogenase (acetyl-transferring) kinase, mitochondrial, with no coding region annotated. NCBI's taxonomy places the organism in Eukaryota, Metazoa, Arthropoda, Insecta, Diptera, Tephritidae. The record is from RefSeq and is a predicted model, not a curated record. The transcript is spliced from 8 exons.